Long non-coding RNA from Sus scrofa (pig), 2543 nucleotides. RefSeq lists it as uncharacterized. Lineage: Eukaryota; Metazoa; Chordata; Mammalia; Artiodactyla; Suidae. The record is from RefSeq and is a predicted model, not a curated record.
UCAUGGAACAGUCAUAGACUGUGAACCAGCACUAUUUGUGAACCAUGCUUUGGUAGUGCUGCUCUAAACGGUGUGCAUAUUAUCACAUGUUUAAUCUUUAAACUACUUUAUUAGAUAGGAUUUUUUAUUUUCUCCAUUCUAUAAACAAGGAAAAUGAGGCAUGAAGCAUAAAUGGUAGGCAGAAUAUGGACCCAAAAUUCAGAGAUUACCCUCCUACCUAUUGCACUAUAUUGAAGAAAUAAAAAUGUUUGAUAUGUUUCUAGUACCAAUUGGCAAUAUUAAAGACAUAUACUAGUCCCAUUGGUGGCCUAUGGAGGAAUGGUGAACUCUGUUAACAAGAAGCCAGGAGCAGCUUCCGAAAGGAGGAGAUGCUUGGGCUGGAUCCUCAAGAACGAGCUCAGGGGUCACAACGUCUCUUUGGAAUUUCAGAUUCUUGAGUUGUAAGAUAUUGGGCUAGCCAAUCUCUGAGGUUUUUUCCAACCACAAUAUUUUGUAAUUUGAUAGAGUCCAAAAGAUGCUUCUAAACUGAUGCCCUCCCACUCAUUGGCACCUCUUACCCCAAUCUUUAGCAUCACUUUCUCCCAAACAAACAUAAUCAAAACUAGUAUAGAAGAAAAAGGAGAUAUGGUAUAUAAGUCUUCUCUACAGCUUUGCAAGAAGGAGUCUGUGACUCUAGGUGCUUCCUAUUUGAACAGAGAAAGAGGAAAACCCUCUUUUUCUCUCCAGGCUCCUGCAUUGAGGAGGUCUCCAAUGGCAGAUAUUUUGCCAGUAAGGAAGGAAAGGCUUCUGUGUAAGCCUGCUCAAAUUGUGGGCAGGGUCACCAAAGAGUGACCACGUAGGGCAGGAACACAUGAAAACAUUUCUAAGAAAACAGGAUUUCUCCCUUCUCAAUUGAGACCAUGUUUUGUUUUGUUUAGGAAACAUAGAAACUGAGAAUGAACAAACUGUAUUUGGGUCAUCUAACCUUUCCUCCUGAGAGUGAAUGAGUUGCUACAGCAUAUGCAUUCAUUUUUUUUUUUUUUCCCUAUUUCACAUGGAGACUCCAGUGGGGGUUUUCACCACACUCUCUGGACAAUCGCUCUGUGCUCUAAGUCAAUAUUGCGUGAGAAUUGCUAUGACAUUGAAAGGAACAGGAGAAAGAACCUCCAACAAAAACAUUUGCUGAGGGGGCUGAUUUGAAAUGUAACUCUGAACAUAGAUGCUAAAAUGGAAUAAGCAGAAGGAGAACUAUAUUUAUUUUCUCUAUGCUGAAAAAAGUAUUUCACCAUUUUGAUUAAGCCAAGUUAAAAAGCCAAUCAUGCUUCUGUUUCCUAACUGCAAGUACUGUAUCUUGUGUUUGUCAAAGACUGUGAGCUUACUGAAUUGUAUAAAACAGCAUGAUGGAUGUUCUUCCUUCUCCAGAGUCUGGAGAAGGGAUUCCAAAUGGAGGAUUUAGCAGCACAUGGGAGACACUUAAAAGAAGACGCCAGGAAAAAAAAAAAAAAAUGAGUUAAAUUAUAGCAAACAGGCUGCCCAGGAAAAAAUGGGCCUUCCUUCCUUAUGGUUUGGUUUGUGGAUUCCCUGGAUUGACUAACGUUAAAGACAUAGGGUGAUUAUCCUUUCACAAAUAGCAGAACCUCCACUCGUUCCCUCUGUGUGCGGGUGUUUUGGAUUUUCGGGGAACUUGGAAGAUCAGGCGGUUAUCUGGUAGUCAGCUGAUAUUAAAGUACUUUUGCAGUUGGAAUUCUAUAAUUAUGCAUUGUAUAUACAUUUUUCAAUAUUAUUUGAAAAAUAAAAUUUAUUUUUAUUAAACAAAAUAUGUAUUAAAAAUAAAUCAUAUUUAAUAUUAGUACAUAAAAUGUAUGUGCAUGAUGGAAUAUUGGAAAAAUACAUUAAGUGGACAUCAGGGAAAAUAAAGUCACUUGUAUUAUCAUUAAUCCGAGACAAGCACAUAAUGCUUUUUGUAUGUUUAUUUUUAUUUCUUUUUUAAAGUAUAAACAUUUGUCCUGUUCUCUUGCUCUGUUACUUUUACAUACAUAUAAUUUUGUAACUUUUUUCAUAUAUUAAAUAUUACACUUUUAUUAUUACAUAAUGUGUAAAACCAUUUUAAUGGCUGUAUAAAUUAGUUCAGAAGAUGUGUUGUCCAUCUUUUAUUUAUCCAUCUUUCUAAUCACUGUACAUUUAUUUUGUACAUCAUUUGUAUGUUGUAAUACUCUGAUGAGCAUUUUGGGUAUAAACAAAAACACCUUGAGCCCUGAAUAUGUGCCAGGUCCAGAGCUUGGCCCUUGGGAAUCAAUACUGAAUAAAUCAUGGUCCAGCCUUAAAAUUCACUGGAAAAGAUUGACAGAUGAGUAAACACUUAAAAGAAAUAAUUGAGUUGUACUUCUCUGUGUAAUUUGGUAAGAGCUUUAAUCUGAUGUUCAAAAGUUGCUUUAGAAGCAUAAAGAAUGAACAUCUACUUCCAGCGGGGGCUUGAGAUGACUACCUGAAUCUGGUCAUACUUAAAGUCAGUCAUAAAAAAGAAGGAAAUAAUGCCAUUUGCAGCAACAUGGAUGGACCUAAGG